Small nuclear RNA from Callithrix jacchus (white-tufted-ear marmoset), 164 nucleotides. Its record names the gene U1. It matches the Rfam family "U1 spliceosomal RNA". Rfam says of the family: U1 is a small nuclear RNA (snRNA) component of the spliceosome (involved in pre-mRNA splicing). Its 5' end forms complementary base pairs with the 5' splice junction, thus defining the 5' donor site of an intron. The record is from Ensembl. NCBI's taxonomy places the organism in Eukaryota, Metazoa, Chordata, Mammalia, Primates, Cebidae.
AUACUUACCUGGCAGGGGAGAUGCCAGGAUCACGAAGGUGGUUUUCCCGGGGCGAGGCUUAUCCAUUGCACUCCGGAUGCGCAGACCCCUGUGAUUUCCCCAAACGUGGGAAACUUGACUGCAUGAUUUGUGGUAGUGGGGGGCUGCGUUCACACUCUCCCUUG